Molecule: long non-coding RNA, 721 nt
Filed under: Oncorhynchus mykiss (rainbow trout)
Lineage: Eukaryota; Metazoa; Chordata; Actinopteri; Salmoniformes; Salmonidae
Description: lncRNA (ENSOMYG00000068752.1)
Source: RNAcentral
GACGUCACCCCGUACAUGAACCCGUGCCCCUACACAGUGUCCCCAAACACGCAUGUGUCUCAAGUUUUUAACCUGCUCAGGACCAUGGGCCUCCAACACCUGCCUGUGGUCAAUGCCGUAGUAGAGAUUGUGGGAAUAAUCACACGACACAAUUUAACCCAAGAGUUCCUUUUGGUGAAACUCAGACAGCACUACAUCACCAUUUGAGCUCCAGAGUCCAGUCUUUAAAGCCGACAAGAGCCGCCUGCGUCUUGCUGUCCUUGGGACACAAUCCCCCCUGUAACUGGACCUGUACCAUGCUUUUCCAUGUCUUAUCCAUUACACACACCCAACCGCACGGCAUCCAUUCUCUGUAUGAGAUAAUAGGCACACACCCCUUGUAAUGAAGCUGGUGACUUUUGUCUGCUGCAGAGCCUUCCAUCACCCAAAGAUGUCCUCCGUGUCCCAACACAUUUCCAUGCUUUACCAACCAACCAACCAACGAUUCAUCAUCAUUAUCACUGUAGCACUUUUGUUUAGAUUUCUGACUGUAUUUUUUUUAUUUUAUGUUUACUGUAUAUUUAGAUGUUCUAUUCUAUAUAUUUGCACUAAAACCAUUUCACUGAAAAUGGUGGAUGUCUCUUUGUCAGUAUUAAUCCUUAAGAGUCUAUUGGCGUACCCGUGUGUCAAUCUAUGUAACAUAACAAAAAUACCCCCAUCAAAAUCUGUCAGGUUAAGCUAG